This 3256-nucleotide long non-coding RNA is filed under the name Papio anubis (olive baboon). RNAcentral describes it as "lncRNA (ENSPANG00000040304.1)". Lineage: Eukaryota; Metazoa; Chordata; Mammalia; Primates; Cercopithecidae. The record is from RNAcentral.
AUAAUCUCAUCCAUUAAUAAUACAAUAUUAAUAUUUUAAAGAAUUUCCUUUUAUUUCAGUUGUGCCUACAUCUCUUCAUCUACUUUCAAAUAAACACACAAAAAGAAUAUAUUCACUUAAUUCAGAAUAAAACUAUACUCAAAGUCAUGGGGCCCUAAGUUUUGAGUGGUAACUUUUUCUGUUAAAACUAUCUCAAAGCUCAUUAAAUACUCUUUCAAUAUUUGUAGAGUAUUCCAUCAUCCUAAUAUACUGUUCGUAUAUUUCAUCAUUUCCAUAUUUUUAACAUUUACCCUUCUCUUUUUUGCUAUUAGGACUAAACUUGAAAUAAACAUGUUUGCAUAAUUAACAACUGGGUCAAAUUUUCCUCAUUUCAUUGAGAUUCUUCAUUCAAGCCUCUGCUGAUGAAUUGGAUUCCAAAAAGCAGAUAUUGUUGUCCAGGUCACACCAUACGGGACUUACCACUCCCAGUUGCCAACAUCUGCACAUAUUUGCCUGGAGGUCUCCUCUGGUCACCAGAGCCUACUCUGCCUGGGCCACAUGACAUGGUGAUGUGCUGAGGAACAAAAGCCCCCAGGAGUAUCCUUCAAGCAGUGUUGGACUAGAGUUGAGGUAUACAUGCCCUAGCCCCCCAACCCUGGGCUGAGAUUCCCGGACAACUGGGUUCCCUGGUAGGACCCAGCCCCAGAUACCCAACACACUAAACUGCUUAAUGAUGGACACUUCCCAUCCCAUCUCCCUUUCCCCAUUUCCCUACCCAUGUUUCCUAGGACCACCUCCAAAACCAAGAAUUUCCCCAAGCUACUCCUUGAGGAACCCAAAUUAAGAUUGCUAAAGCACUAAGCUGGAAGUGACUCAAAACCAAAAAGCCUAACAUAACCUUUUGUCUUCUUUAAGAAUUCAUUCUGAACUGUCUGCCAAUUUCAUUUCAACAUUAGAAAAUGACUGAAAAUGUUAAAUUGGACUUGCUGGACUUCAACAUCUGACACAUUUACUCCAAGGAUACACACAUUGAGCUAUAGAAUUCCUCUGUUUUUUCGCUAUUCCUCCAUCAGAUGGUGAGUUCUGACUCCAAAAUAUGCUUUAGAUGAUUCCUCUACUCUCCAUUUCCACUGCCAGCCCCCUAGUCCAUCCCAUGCCAUCUCUUGCUAGACUGGUCAUCACUUGCUAGACUGUUACCAAAUUCUCCUGACUGGCCCAUUCCUGAUUCCAUUCUUGACCCUUCCAAUCUAUUAUUUGCAUAGCAACUAAAGAAAACGUUUAAAAAUAUACAUCAAUUGACAUCACUUCCUUCAUUAAAACCUAGCUUCCCAUUGCACAUAGAAUGAAAUCCCAAGUCCUUCUUGUGAACUAAAAGACUUCUCCCACUUCUGUUUUAACUCACUGUCCCCUUCAUUCACGGUACUCCAGGAAACUUAAUGUCCUCUCUGCUCCCAGAAUGGAUCCAGCCUGUCCAGGCCUUUGUGCUUGCUCUUCCCUCUUCCUAAAUAUUUUGACCUGGCUCUGUGUGUGUCUACUUCCUCCUCAUCUCUCAGAUCUCCUUUGCAAAAGGGCUUCUCCAAUGAUUUAAUUUAAUAUCGUCUUCUCAUGUACCCCACAUAUCAUUCUCUAGCACUGUAUUCUGUUUAUUUCCUUCAUAGGAUCUACAGCAAGUUCUAAUUGUUUCAGGUUUUUGUUUAUUUACUCAUUCAAAAAUACAUAUACUCAGUCCCUAUUAUCCCUACUCUGGGCUAGGCCCAGACCCUUGACAGGUGUGGGAGGUACACAGUAAUCAAAAACAGACCCUACCUAUAUUAGGGAGAGAAUUUAGUGAGAGAGACUGAUGUUAAACAAAUAAUAACAUGUGCAGUUUCAAAGCUGAUACUGUAACAAAUGUUAUAUACGGAGCCCUAUGAGAAGUCAAAUUAGAAAAUCUUGGCCUAGUUAGGGACGACAUCCCCAAGGAAGUAAACAAUGAGCUGGAGGCCUGUGCAGGCAAAGGUUAACUCAGCAGACCUGGGUUGUUCAAACCCUGCACAUUUUCAGGAAAGGUCUGUCUUCAGGAAUGACCCUGGGAGAUGAACUCUGAGGCUUUGGGAUGUCCUGCCUGAUAAGAGUGUGUCUCUAUGCCCAAAGCCUUGGGCAACCCGGUACCAGUUUGAUGACAUAGUUUAUGUUAACAGUGUGAUUCAUGGUGAAUGCCUGCUCUUGCUCUAGGAGGUUGAAGUCUGAGUAGCCAACAUCAAUCCCGAGGUACUACAUGCCAAUGCAACUGGCCCCCAAUUAAAAAUUCUGGACACUCACUCAGGGGAGAUUCCUGGUUGGUAGCACUUUACUCAGGCAGUCACACACUAUUGCUGGAAGAAUGAAGUGUGCUCAUGUGAUGCCACUGGAGGAGGACACCUAGAAACUUGGGCCUGUUUUUCCCGGACUUUGCCCCAAGCGUUUUUUCCCUUUUCUGGUUUGAAUCUGUAUCCUUUUACUAUAAGGAACUUCCACCAUGAGUAUUACAGCUUUUCUGAGUCCUGUGAGUUCUAGCAAAUCAUUCAGCUAAGGGUAGCCUCAGGGACCCUGACAGAGCACCAAAGAGAGUGUUUAAGGCAGAGAAAACAGCAGAAAACAGCAGACUCAAAAGCCCUAUGACAUCCCUGAGCACCUCAACAUGAGAAGUGUAACAAAAGCUGGUUAGGUGGGAAUGGAAGAGUAAGCAGGUGUGUGACACUAGGUAUCCAUAUUCUCCCUUCACUGGUGAAUGGACAUCUGUGAUUGUUGUUCACUGUCGGCAUUACCACCACAUACCAUGAUGCUUGGCACAUCAUUGAUGCCCAAGAUUAUCCGUUAAAUAAAUGAACUAUAAAUAAGCAAAUGAGCGAAUGGAAUGAAUGAUCCUCAGCUUCAUGUUACAUCCUUACAGCAAGUGUAAUUGUUAUUGGUUAUUAUUCCCAUGAUCAUCUCUGAAUACUUCAAAGUUGCUGGAUUACUUGGAUGGUACCACUGCCUCAAGACGGUUAAAGCACUAGGGGGAAAAAUGCCUCAAAACAUUUCAAAUCAAUUGAAGUUUUUAGAUAAUUUCCUGAACGUAUUGCAGUAAUUUAUAGAAAAUUAGACUUUAUCUGCAGGCUAGACUGUAAAUUUAUGUAAAUAAUAAAAGCCCCUUAUAACUUCUCAAACCCUAUGAGUUAAGUAUACUGGUCAUUAAAUGUCCCCAUUUUAUAGAUGAGAAACUACAAGGUUGACUGCUUUGUCCAAAGUCACAAGCAAAUUAGUGGCAGAGCAAAGA